GGAAGUAAAAAGUCGUAACAAGGUCUCCGUUGGUGAACCAGCGGAGGGAUCAUUACUGAGUUUACGCUCUACAACCCUUUGUGAACAUACCUAUAACUGUUGCUUCGGCGGGUAGGGUCUCCGCGACCCUCCCGGCCUCCCGCCUCCGGGCGGGUCGGCGCCCGCCGGAGGAUAACCAAACUCUGAUUUAACGACGUUUCUUCUGAGUGGUACAAGCAAAUAAUCAAAACUUUUAACAACGGAUCUCUUGGUUCUGGCAUCGAUGAAGAACGCAGCGAAAUGCGAUAAGUAAUGUGAAUUGCAGAAUUCAGUGAAUCAUCGAAUCUUUGAACGCACAUUGCGCCCGCCAGCAUUCUGGCGGGCAUGCCUGUUCGAGCGUCAUUUCAACCCUCAAGCUCUGCUUGGUGUUGGGGCCCUACAGCCGAUGUAGGCCCUCAAAGGUAGUGGCGGACCCUCCCGGAGCCUCCUUUGCGUAGUAACUUUACGUCUCGCACUGGGAUCCGGAGGGACUCUUGCCGUAAAACCCCCCAAUUUUCCAAAGGUUGACCUCGGAUCAGGUAGGAAUACCCGCUGAACUUAAGCAUAUCAAUAAGCGGAGGA
This 600-nucleotide ribosomal RNA is filed under the name Colletotrichum gloeosporioides. RNAcentral describes it as "eukaryotic LSU rRNA". The stretch from base 228 to 381 matches the Rfam family "5.8S ribosomal RNA". The record is from RNAcentral. Lineage: Eukaryota; Fungi; Ascomycota; Sordariomycetes; Glomerellales; Glomerellaceae.